CUAAGUCUCCACCUGGUGGCUAAAUUAAGUUCUAGAAUCACUCUUGAUGGUGCUCCUCAGCACUCAGUCAAAUCGCAUACAGGCUUCUCUGAGAAUGAAGGUUUUUGAUAAUUUUUAUAUUAAAAAAAUACAUUUUAGAAAUUACAGGAGUAAAGCUUCCAGCCCCUGAAGCCCUGAAACAAGAACCCCCUGAGGGGAAACUUCUAUUUGGUCUGACAAUAUGGAAGGUUGGACCACAUCCAGGAGUGUCAUGGGCUACAUGCAACAAGGGCUUGCUUGAUAUCUCUGUCUUAGAUGACCAAUAUAAGGUACCUUUUAGCUCUAAGGUUCUGCAGCUAUAUUCUAAAUAGCUAUAUUUCUUUGUAGGUCUAAGAUGAAUAAAGAAAAAAGCAUUCCAGAACUUGACUUUUUG
RNAcentral lists this long non-coding RNA (412 nucleotides) under Monodelphis domestica (gray short-tailed opossum). RNAcentral's name for it is "lncRNA (ENSMODG00000036578.1)". Lineage: Eukaryota; Metazoa; Chordata; Mammalia; Didelphimorphia; Didelphidae. The record is from RNAcentral.